UACGGAGGGCGCGAGCGUUAAUCGGAAUUACUGGGCGUAAAGCGUGCGUAGGCUGUUUGAUAAGUCAGGCGUGAAAGCCCUCGGCUCAACCGAGGAACUGCGUUUGAUACUGUUAGACUUGAGUCCCGGAGAGGGUGGCGGAAUUCCAGGUGUAGGAGUGAAAUCCGUAGAUAUCUGGAGGAACACCGGUGGCGAAGGCGGCCACCUGGACGGGUACUGACGCUGAGGCACGAAAGCGUGGGGAGCAAACGGG
Molecule: ribosomal RNA, 253 nt
Filed under: uncultured bacterium
Lineage: Bacteria
Description: partial 16S ribosomal RNA
Rfam family: Bacterial small subunit ribosomal RNA
Source: RNAcentral